AUGGUUGUCGUCAGCUCGUGUCGUGAGAUGUGGUAGUCCGCAACGAGCGCAACCCCUAUUGUUAGUUGCCAUCAUUCAGUUGGGCACUCUAGCGAGACUGCCGGUAAUAAACCGGAGGAAGGUGGGGAUGACGUCAAAUCAUCAUGCCCCUUAUGACCUGGGCUACACACGUGCUACAAUGGUUGGUACAACGAGUUGCGAGUCGGUGACGGCGAGCUAAUCUCUUAAAGCCAAUCUCAGUUCGGAUUGUAGGCUGCAACUCGCCUACAUGAAGUCGGAAUCGCUAGUAAUCGCGGAUCAGCACGCCGCGGUGAAUACGUUCCCGGGCCUU
Molecule: ribosomal RNA, 331 nt
Filed under: uncultured Streptococcus sp.
Lineage: Bacteria; Bacillati; Bacillota; Bacilli; Lactobacillales; Streptococcaceae
Description: bacterial SSU rRNA
Rfam family: Bacterial small subunit ribosomal RNA
Source: RNAcentral